This 2507-nucleotide long non-coding RNA is filed under the name Mus musculus (house mouse). Its description in RNAcentral is "RIKEN cDNA A930002C04 gene (A930002C04Rik)". The record is from RNAcentral. Lineage: Eukaryota; Metazoa; Chordata; Mammalia; Rodentia; Muridae.
GGUAUACACGUGACCAGUGGCUGGGACUCAGGAAGAAAGAGGUGGAGUGGAACUGUAGGGAAGGGAAUUAGAGAGAUAAGCAAGAAUCAAUUCCUUCUAGAGUGCGAGAGACCAUGUUUAAUUUCAAGACGAGACUGUAACGUGGAACAAGAAGUCAUCCGAUUUACAGUUUAAGCUGACCGAUCUUACUGCGUAGGGGCAGAAGCUUCAGGGAACCCAUCGCCGCCUCUGACCUCCGAGGGCACCAGGCAUUCGAGUGGUGUGCGGACAAGACACCCAUGUAGACCAAAGCAACUUACGGGAGGAAGGGUAUAAUUCCAGGAACCUCAGGGAUUGCGGUUCAGUUCACUCGCAGACCGAGGGCUUACAGUGCCUGGCCUGUUCCCGGGACUAGAGCAUUCCACAGAGUCAACUGAUACCUGCAGAUGCAAAACACCAUCUCUGCACUCCGCGCCACCCUUUCUCCACUGAGAACUGCAGGAUGGGUAGUCAGAAGCCAUGGGAUGGUUGGCUCCAAGGUCCCCAGCUACGCAGCGCACUGAACAGCACUUCUCUCUGUGGGGCUUUAAGCCCAAAAAGGCUGCUUGUGACUGCACACUGUUUAUGUUCAUAUCACAUCAUUUUUUUAUUUCUUGGAAUAACUGCACUGAAAGUCUCAUUACCAUCAAGACUCUGAUGAGAACGAAAACAAAACCAUCUCAGCCACAUACAAGGAGUUAACACGAGUCAACACGUUACCUCUGCUUCCUUAAAACGUCUGCGUACUUUUUUAUCUCCCACUGAACAAGAUACAGCAGCUCAGUAUAACUGAGUAGAGUUAUAUAUUCAGGCAGCUUCCGACACUGUAAGAGUAUAUUUUUACAGCUAAAGGGAAUGGCCAUCAAAGAGCAACACUCUCCGUUUUCCAGUCCUUCCCAAGAGAAAGAGCAUCAUGCUGACUGGCUCAGGGAAGUGUGGUACAAAAAAAUAAAGUAAAACAAGGAAGCAAACAGUGGCAGAUCAGCCCAUCUGCUAAGCCAUUAGGACUGCGAUGAGAUAAAUAUAAUUUAGACAGGUACCCCCAGCAUGUACUUUGAGAUAUUGUAACUAUCCAACUUUUUUUUUUUUUGAGGGAUGGGGGGUGUCUCACUGUGUAGUCCUGCCAUCCUAGAACUCACUAUGUAGUUCAGUCUGGUCAGGAACUCACAAAAACCCUCCUGCCUCCACAUCCCAAGUGCUAGGAUAGAUUAAAGGUGUAUGCUUUUCAAACCCAGGCUUGCAACUGCUCUUUGAGUAGAGGGAAGCGACUUGAAUCCAGGUCUCCACUUAGCCACACCUACUUCCGUCUUUGUUUUCCCAGCGUUCACUUAAUGCUGGACGCACUAAUGGAUGAGGAUGGUUAACAUUUGACAGGAUCGCCUCUCAGCAUUUUUAAGAUACACAAGUGUCUGGAGAGCCGCCUCUCCAGCCUGUCCUUCUCAGAGGCGGGGAACAGCUUCACCCCUAGGCAUCAACACUCAAGCAGAAAGGCCUUCACAGUGGACCACAGAAAAGUGCUCACCAGGAAGUGCCCCUCCCACCCCCACGGAACGCGGCUCCUUUUCCUGUCCUAGAAAGGUGAUGGCCAACGGCCUGUCUGGACUGUGUGAGAAUUGACGCAGUGGGAACGGAGCUUAAAUUCUACUAUGCUACAGUGGGAGUCUCAUGACCCAGGAGUCAUAUGUAAAAAAGAAUAUGCACUGUUUCCCAGACUACCUGUGUGUAAGUCUUAACUCUCAGGAGGAUUUUCCAAGCGCAAAGGGUUAAGGAGCACUAUGACAGUAAUUUUUCUGAGCUGUCUGAUCACUGCCGGUCACCUGUCAUAAAGCCAAAGGGACAACACAUGUCUGAGUUAAUCUGUUUGUUCUUAUAAAGCAUUCGAGAUUAUUCCUAAGAAGCAACUUAAUGAAAAAGAACGCCUACGGUCGGAAGUUCCAAGAGCCAGCAUGAUGGGUAAGGCCAAUUUCUGGAGUCUUUGUGAGGGAAGGCAGGAAAACCCAGAUAACAAAAUAAAUAAGAACCUCCAAUACCAACAGUGGCAGCAUAUGACCAGGGUGUCCAGCUCAAACAAGAACGAGCUGCUUCCAAGGCGGCCGUGCUUAGGAACAUACAGAAUCCAGCAAAUGCUUCUCCUUUGGAGAAACCAAGCACAACUUGGUUACAGCUUACAGCCUCCACUGCCCCUAUCUCUAGUGAAAAGCUCCCUUUUCCAUCCCUCACAGGACGCAGCAUGGGGGGCCCAGCUCUGCCCUCCUCGCUCAUCCAUACAUCUUUCUAUCAAGGCUCGGGAUGAAAACCUGGAGUAGGGAGCAGAGCCGUCACAAAUUGUGUGACAUAGCUUCAAGGUCCCUGAAUAUCCUAUUUUUUGACUCUGACAAGACAGGAGUCAAAAAGUCAAAUUGAGAAGCCGGUGACACCAUCUCUGCUCUCAGGGCACAUCUGAGUCUAAUGGCUUUGCCACUUGAACCUUCCUUCCAAGUUGACUGCAA